GAGGAUAGAGGCAAUUGUAAAAAACUAUCCAGAAGGCCAUAAAGCAGCAGCUGUUCUUCCAGUCCUGGAUUUAGCCCAAAGGCAGAAUGGGUGGUUGCCCAUCUCUGCUAUGAACAAGGUUGCAGAAGUUUUACAAGUACCUCCAAUGAGAGUAUAUGAAGUAGCAACUUUUUAUACAAUGUAUAAUCGAAAGCCAGUUGGAAAGUAUCACAUUCAGGUCUGCACUACUACACCCUGCAUGCUUCGAAACUCUGACAGCAUACUGGAGGCCAUUCAGAAAAAGCUUGGAAUAAAGGUUGGGGAGACUACACCUGACAAACUUUUCACUCUUAUAGAAGUGGAAUGUUUAGGGGCCUGUGUGAACGCACCAAUGGUUCAAAUAAAUGACAAUUACUAUGUGAGUAUUUCAGGAGGAUUUGACAGCUAAGGAUAUUGAAGAAAUUAUUGAUGAGCUCAAGGCUGGCAAAAUCCCAAAACCUGGGCCAAGGAGUGGACGCUUCUCUUGUGAGCCAGCUGGAGGUCUUACCUCUUUGACUGAACCACCCAAGGGACCUGGAUUUGGUGUACAAGCAGGCCUUUAAUUUAUAUUGAACUGUAAAUAUGUCACUAGAGAAAUAAAAUAUGGACUUCCAGUCUACGUAAU
RNAcentral lists this small RNA (643 nucleotides) under Pan troglodytes (chimpanzee). RNAcentral describes it as "processed transcript". Lineage: Eukaryota; Metazoa; Chordata; Mammalia; Primates; Hominidae. The record is from RNAcentral.